ACUCAGGAGCCUGCUGAGGACAGAUGAAAUGAAUGUGACUGUCGAAGCCACCAUAAGUGACAAUGUCCUUUUCGGCUGCAAUGACAUCCGUAUUGGAUCCGACAACCAUGUUAGGAUCGACACCUUCCAUGACAUCUGGAUUACCUGCCUUGCCAAUACCUACAAUAAUGCCGUUCUUGACACCAAUGUCGGCCUUGUAGAUACCAGUGUAAUCAACAAUCAGAGCGUUGGUCAGAACCAAAUCCAAGCAGUCGAUGUCUGAACGUCCAGAAGCUUGGCCCAUGCCAUCACGAAU
Molecule: small RNA, 295 nt
Filed under: Aureobasidium pullulans EXF-150
Lineage: Eukaryota; Fungi; Ascomycota; Dothideomycetes; Dothideales; Saccotheciaceae
Description: 5' ureB small RNA
Rfam family: 5' ureB small RNA
Source: Rfam by way of RNAcentral